RNAcentral lists this transfer RNA (73 nucleotides) under Eutypa lata UCREL1. RNAcentral describes it as "tRNA-Phe (GAA) (tRNA-Phe-GAA-4-1)". It matches the Rfam family "tRNA". From Rfam's summary of the family: Transfer RNA (tRNA) molecules are approximately 80 nucleotides in length. Their secondary structure includes four short double-helical elements and three loops (D, anti-codon, and T loops). The record is from RNAcentral. Lineage: Eukaryota; Fungi; Ascomycota; Sordariomycetes; Xylariales; Diatrypaceae.
GCGGGGUUAGUUCAGUUGGGAGAACGUUAGACUGAAGAUCUAAAGGUCGUGCGUUCGAUCCGCACACACCGCA